UGUUGCUUAAUUUGACAAUACACGUAGAACCUUACCUAGGUUUGACAUCUAUUGCGAUGCUAUAGAAAUAUAGUUGAGGUUAACAAUAUGACAGGUGGUGCAUGGUUGUCGUCAGCUCGUGUCGUGAGAUGUUGGGUUAAGUCCCGCAACGAGCGCAACCCCUUUCGUUAGUUACUUUUCUAGCGAUACUGCUACCGCAAGGUAGAGGAAGGUGGGGAUGACGUCAAAUCAUCAUGCCCCUUAUAUCUAGGGCUGCAAACGUGCUACAAUGGCUAAUACAAACUGCUGCAAAAUCGUAAGAUGAAGCGAAACAGAAAAAGUUAGUCUCAGUUCGGAUAGAGGGCUGCAAUUCGUCCUCUUGAAGUUGGAAUCACUAGUAAUCGCGAAUCAGAC
Molecule: ribosomal RNA, 393 nt
Filed under: Ureaplasma parvum
Lineage: Bacteria; Bacillati; Mycoplasmatota; Mycoplasmoidales; Mycoplasmoidaceae
Description: bacterial SSU rRNA
Rfam family: Bacterial small subunit ribosomal RNA
Source: RNAcentral